Molecule: non-coding RNA, 112 nt
Filed under: Tissierella creatinophila
Lineage: Bacteria; Bacillati; Bacillota; Tissierellia; Tissierellales; Tissierellaceae
Also listed under: 1 other name
Description: TPP sequence
Rfam family: TPP riboswitch aptamer (THI element)
About the family: Vitamin B(1) in its active form thiamin pyrophosphate (TPP) is an essential coenzyme that is synthesised by coupling of pyrimidine and thiazole moieties in bacteria. The previously detected thiamin-regulatory element, thi box was extended, resulting in a new, highly conserved RNA secondary structure, the THI element, which is widely distributed in eubacteria and also occurs in some archaea.
Source: RNAcentral
AAUUAAAUAUUGGGGAGCUUGUGCAAUCAGGCUGAGAAAAAAUCUAAAGCGAUUAAAACCCUUGUACCUGAUCUGGAUAAUGCCAGCGUAGGGAUAAACUCUAAAUUUGAAU